RNAcentral lists this unclassified non-coding RNA (402 nucleotides) under soil metagenome. Its description in RNAcentral is "partial contains 5.8S ribosomal RNA, internal transcribed spacer 2, and large subunit ribosomal RNA". The stretch from base 2 to 119 matches the Rfam family "5.8S ribosomal RNA", at positions 38 to 154 of the family's 154-position model. The record is from RNAcentral.
GGAAGAACGUAGUGAAAUGCGAUAAGUAAUGUGAAUUGCAGAAUUCAGUGAAUCAUCGAAUCUUUGAACGCACCUUGCGCCCUUUGGCUAUUCCGAAGGGCAUGCCUGUUUGAGUAUCAUGAACACCUCAACUCUCAUGGUUUGCCAUGAUGAGCUUGGACUUUGGGGGUCUUGCCGGCCUAUGGGUCGGCUCCUCUCAAAUUAAUCAGCUUGCCAGUGUUUGGUGGCAUCACAGGUGUGAUAACUAUCUACGCUUGUGGUUUUCCAUCAGGUAACCUUCAGUGAUGGAGGUUCGCUGGGGCUCAUAAAUGUCUCUCCUCAGUGAGGACAGCUUUUUUGAACGUUUGAUCUCAAAUCAGGUAGGACUACCCGCUGAACUUAAGCAUAUCAAUAAGCGGAGGA